AGUGAACGCUGGCGGUAGGCCUAACACAUGCAAGUCGAACGGCAGCACAGUAAGAGCUUGCUCUUACGGGUGGCGAGUGGCGGACGGGUGAGGAAUACAUCGGAAUCUACUUUUUCGUGGGGGAUAACGUAGGGAAACUUACGCUAAUACCGCAUACGACCUACGGGUGAAAGCAGGGGAUCUUCGGACCUUGCGCGAUUGAAUGAGCCGAUGUCGGAUUAGCUAGUUGGCGGGGUAAAGGCCCACCAAGGCGACGAUCCGUAGCUGGUCUGAGAGGAUGAUCAGCCACACUGGAACUGAGACACGGUCCAGACUCCUACGGGAGGCAGCAGUGGGGAAUAUUCGACAAUGGGCGCAAGCCUGAUCCAGCCAUACCGCGUGUGUGAAGAAGGCCUUCGGGUUGUAAAGCCCUUUUGUUGGGAAAGAAAAGCAGCAGGUUAAUACCCCGCUGUUCUGACGGUACCCAAAGAAUAAGCACCGGCUAACUUCGUG
RNAcentral lists this ribosomal RNA (492 nucleotides) under uncultured bacterium. Its description in RNAcentral is "partial 16S ribosomal RNA". It matches the Rfam family "Bacterial small subunit ribosomal RNA", at positions 29 to 507 of the family's 1533-position model. The record is from RNAcentral.